CGCUGGCGGCGUGCUUAACACAUGCAAGUCGAACGGAAAGGCCCUGCUUUUGUGGGGUGCUCGAGUGGCGAACGGGUGAGUAACACGUGAGUAACCUGCCCUUGACUUUGGGAUAACUUCAGGAAACUGGGGCUAAUACCGGAUAGGAGCUCCUGCUGCAUGGUGGGGGUUGGAAAGUUUCGGCGGUUGGGGAUGGACUCGCGGCUUAUCAGCUUGUUGGUGGGGUAGUGGCUUACCAAGGCUUUGACGGGUAGCCGGCCUGAGAGGGUGACCGGCCACAUUGGGACUGAGAUACGGCCCAGACUCCUACGGGAGGCAGCAGUGGGGAAUAUUGCACAAUGGGCGGAAGCCUGAUGCAGCAACGCCGCGUGCGGGAUGACGGCCUUCGGGUUGUAAACCGCUUUCGCCUGUGACGAAGCGUGAGUGACGGUAAUGGGUAAAGAAGCACCGGCUAACUACGUGCCAGCAGCCGCGGUGAUACGUAGGGUGCGAGCGUUGUCCGGAUUUAUUGGGCGUAAAGGGCUCGUAGGUGGUUGAUCGCGUCGGAAGUGUAAUCUUGGGGCUUAACCCUGAGCGUGCUUUCGAUACGGGUUGACUUGAGGAAGGUAGGGGAGAAUGGAAUUCCUGGUGGAGCGGUGGAAUGCGCAGAUAUCAGGAGGAACACCAGUGGCGAAGGCGGUUCUCUGGGCCUUUCCUGACGCUGAGGAGCGAAAGCGUGGGGAGCGAACAGGCUUAGAUACCCUGGUAGUCCACGCUGUAAACGGUGGGUACUAGGUGUGGGGUCCAUUCCACGGGUUCCGUGCCGUAGCUAACGCUUUAAGUACCCCGCCUGGGGAGUACGGCCGCAAGGCUAAAACUCAAAGGAAUUGACGGGGCCCCGCACAAGCGGCGGAGCAUGCGGAUUAAUUCGAUGCAACGCGUAGAACCUUACCUGGGUUUGACAUGGAUCGGGAGUGCUCAGAGAUGGGUGUGCCUCUUUUGGGGUCGGUUCACAGGUGGUGCAUGGCUGUCGUCAGCUCGUGUCGUGAGAUGUUGGGUUAAGUCCCGCAACGAGCGCAACCCUUGUUCACUGUUGCCAGCACGUUAUGGUGGGGACUCAGUGGAGACCGCCGGGGUCAACUCGGAGGAAGGUGGGGAUGACGUCAAGUCAUCAUGCCCCUUAUGUCCAGGGCUUCACGCAUGCUACAAUGGCUGGUACAGAGAGUGGCGAGCCUGUGAGGGUGAGCGAAUCUCGGAAAGCCGGUCUCAGUUCGGAUUGGGGUCUGCAACUCGACCUCAUGAAGUCGGAGUCGCUAGUAAUCGCAGAUCAGCAACGCUGCGGUGAAUACGUUCCCGGGGCUUGUACACACCGCCCGUCAAGUCAUGAAAGUUGGUAACACCCGAAGCCGGUGGCCUAACCGUUGUGGGGGAGCCGUCGAAGGUGGGACUGGUGA
This 1433-nucleotide ribosomal RNA is filed under the name uncultured organism. RNAcentral's name for it is "16S ribosomal RNA". It matches the Rfam family "Bacterial small subunit ribosomal RNA". The record is from RNAcentral.